UGGGUAGCCGGCCUGAGAGGGUGAACGGCCACAAGGGGACUGAGACACGGCCCUUACUCCUACGGGAGGCAGCAGUGGGGAAUAUUGGACAAUGGACCAAAAGUCUGAUCCAGCAAUUCUGUGUGCACGAUGACGUUUUUCGGAAUGUAAAGUGCUUUCAGUCGGGAAGAAGCAAGUGACGGUACCGACAGAAGAAGCGACGGCUAAAUACGUGCCAGCAGCCGCGGUAAUACGUAUGUCGCAAGCGUUAUCCGGAUUUAUUGGGCGUAAAGCGCGUCUAGGCGGCAAGGAAAGUCUGAUGUGAAAAUGCGGGGCUCAACUCCGUAUUGCGUUGGAAACUGCCUUACUAGAGUACUGGAGAGGUAGGCGGAACUACAAGUGUAGAGGUGAAAUUCGUAGAUAUUUGUAGGAAUGCCGAUGGGGAAGCCAGCCUACUGGACAGAUACUGACGCUAAAGCGCGAAAGCGUGGGUAGCAAACAGGAUUAGAUACCCUGGUAGUCCACGCUGUAAACGAUGAUUACUAGGUGUUGGGGGUCGAACCUCAGCGC
Molecule: ribosomal RNA, 549 nt
Filed under: uncultured Fusobacterium sp.
Lineage: Bacteria; Fusobacteriati; Fusobacteriota; Fusobacteriia; Fusobacteriales; Fusobacteriaceae
Description: bacterial SSU rRNA
Rfam family: Bacterial small subunit ribosomal RNA
Source: RNAcentral